GCCCGGCAGUUAAGAUGCCGGAGGAGGACACGAAGCCCUUCGUUUCCCGCUCCGCUUGCCAUGGCCCUCACCAACCCUAAUCCCCUUCUCUCCAACCCCUUACCCCCGCCUCUCCUUCGCAUCCCCUCGCGUUGCUUCCUCCGUUGCCGCGCAGCUGCGGACGCCUCCUCGGACUGGUUCCGCCCCCGGGGCGACCCGCCCGAUGGAGGGAGAAUGUCUGCCCGGGACCCCGGGACUCGAAUUAACGCGACGGAGGAGAGCACGGACCAGAGCAGCAGCGGCAAUAAGAAGAAGAAGAAGAAAAGCAAGUGGUGGUGGUGGUCUCGGGACCGGGAGAGCUACUUGGCCAACGACUCCGACGCCCUGCCGUUGCCGAUGACCUACCCUGACUCUUCCCCGGUGUCACCGCAGGAGAUCGACCGCAGGCUCCAGUGUGAUCCCAGUAUCGAGGAUUGUAAGCCAGUGGUGUACGAGUGGACGGGGAAGUGUAGGAGUUGCCAGGGGACGGGGUUGGUGAGCUACUACAACAAAAGGGGGCGGGAGACGAUCUGCAAGUGCGUUCCCUGCCUUGGAAUAGAAGCCUAGGGACAACAGUUGAUCUGAAAGAGGUGUUGAUGGAGGCAGGGAGUUACAUUUUUUUUGGGUAACAGGAUAGGACGUAACAAUGGCCUAUUUGCAUGUUCGUGCAUUGAAGGGUGAAGGAUAUGUCCAGAAAAUAACGGUACGGGAGGACAUCAAUGUGAUGGAAGAUGUAGACAAUGGAAAACCACCUUAAUUCAUUCCUUCGACAAGUAAAUUCUGAUAAAUGAUACUUAAGAUUCCUUCAUAGAGCAGAUAUAGAAACAUUUUUCAAUUUUUGUUUAAUAUGGUUUUAGUGCCAUCUAUGCUCUGCAGCCAUAAAAUCACAGACUGUUUUUGGCAGUUUAGUGUGGACCAAAUGUUUUUUGAGGGUGCUAAGCUUGCAAGACAAGCCAAUAUUUAACAAAAUGUUUCAUCCACUUUAUGCUUUCCAAACAUUUGUGCAUUAAUAUGUAAGAGAAAAAACACUUAUUGUGUUGUGAGUAUUGCUGAAGAUUCAUAUUCUUGUCAAGUGUUCUGUCUUCUACCCCUUAUUUUUAAUCAGUGAUAGCCUAAAUAUGUUAUGCUAUUUGAGAGUGAAGGUAAAUGUCAUACCUUUGCCCAUGGAAUAUGAAUCUUGGAACCUUUUUUCUAACGAAUCUAUAGUUUGGCAGGGAAUUAUAUAUAGAUUUGUGCAUCCAAAUUCUGGUGAUGGCAUACACACCGCUGAUACUUCUGCUUCUGUUCCAUCUCCUGAUGUGAUAAGCGGAUGUCAGGACUCCACAUUCUUUAUUUUCAAUCUGACUAUCCAAGUUCAUUAGUUUGAAGCUGGUAAAGUGGUAAUCAGAUUACAGGCUUGAUGCUAUUUUUUGACCCCAAAUGUUAAGGAGAUGAUGCAGGAGUUCAACAAGUAUCAAACAAAAAAAAUCAGAUAGAAGUUGAAACUGAAAGCAAAACCAAGGUUGGGAGUGUGGCAAAUGAUGCAAGCUGCUGACUUAACAAAAAUAGCUUUAACAAGUUCGCAAAGCGGACUGAGAAAGGCUUUAAGGUCCUUGAUAUUGGAGACACUUUUUGGAUGUUCAAUCAAGUUUAUGAUGGCCGAAAUUGUUCAAAGGGACACAAAAAAGAUACCUUUCAAGGAUGCACCCUGAGAUGAGUGCCAAAAUAACACCAAAGGUAGACAAGAAUGGCAAUCGGCUGUCAUGAGCUCUUACAGCCGAGAUUAAGUUGACCUAAUAUAAGUUAUGAGUCAAAUUAAGCAGGAGCCCUUAGAAAUAGAGCCAGGAAUGACUUUUAUUCCAUGCAUGUUUUGUAUUGUUUUACAGCUAAUGCAAUUUCUAAAAUUAAUGCA
RNA transcript from Musa acuminata AAA Group (dessert banana), 1909 nucleotides. It is a transcript of the gene named protein disulfide-isomerase SCO2-like, with no coding region annotated. The transcript has 4 exons. Lineage: Eukaryota; Viridiplantae; Streptophyta; Magnoliopsida; Zingiberales; Musaceae. The record is from RefSeq and is a predicted model, not a curated record.